Molecule: ribosomal RNA, 468 nt
Filed under: uncultured bacterium
Lineage: Bacteria
Description: partial 16S ribosomal RNA
Rfam family: Bacterial small subunit ribosomal RNA
Source: RNAcentral
GACGAACGCUGGCGGCGUGCUUAACACAUGCAAGUCGAACGGAAAGGCCCUUCUUUUGUGGGGUGCUCGAGUGGCGAACGGGUGAGUAACACGUGAGUAACCUGCCCUUGACUUUGGGAUAACUUCAGGAAACUGGGGCUAAUACCGGAUAGGAGCUCCGGCUGCAUGGUGGGGGUUGGAAAGUUUCGGCGGUUGGGGAUGGACUCGCGGCUUAUCAGCUUGUUGGUGGGGUAGGGGCUUACCAAGGCUUUGACGGGUAGCCGGCCUGAGAGGUUGACCGGCCAAAUUGGGACUGGGAUACGGCCCAGACUCCUACGGGAGGAGGCAGUGGGGAAUAUGGAAAAAUGGGCGGAAGCCGGAGGCAGCAAGGCGGCGUGCGGGAUGACGGCCUUCGGGUUGUAAACCGCUUUCGCCUGUGACGAGGGGUGAGUGACGGUAAUGGGUAAAGAAGCACCGGCUAACUACGUG